AUUCCCCUAGUAACUGCGAGUGAAGCGGGAAGAGCUCAAAUUUGAAAUCUGGCGGUCUUAGGCCGUCCGAGUUGUAGUCUGGAGAAGCGUCUUCCGUGCCGGACCGUGUACAAGUCCCUUGGAACAGGGCGUCAUAGAGGGUGAGAAUCCCGUCUCUGACACGGACUGCCGGUACUAUGUGAUGCGCUCUCGAAGAGUCGAGUUGUUUGGGAAUGCAGCUCAAAAUGGGUGGUAAAUUCCAUCUAAAGCUAAAUACAGGCGAAAGACCGAUAGCGAACAAGUACCGUGAGGGAAAGAUGAAAAGCACUUUGGAAAGAGAGUUAAAGAGUACGUGAAAUUGUUGAAAGGGAAACGCUUGAAGUCAGUCGCGUCUCACGGGAUUCAGCCUUUGUCUCCGGGCUAGGUGCAUUUCCCUUGUAGACGGGCCAGCAUGAAUUCGGAUCGUCAGAGAAGGGUCGAGGGAAUGUGGCACCCCCUGGGUGUGUUAUAGCCCUCGGUCACAUGUGGCGGUCGGGAUUGAGGAUCGCAGCACGCCUUUAAUGGCCGGGUUCGCCCACGUAACGUGCUUAGGAUGCUGGCGUAAUGGCUUCAAACGACCCGU
RNAcentral lists this ribosomal RNA (601 nucleotides) under Phaeoclavulina africana. RNAcentral's name for it is "eukaryotic LSU rRNA". It matches the Rfam family "Eukaryotic large subunit ribosomal RNA", at positions 74 to 652 of the family's 3401-position model. The record is from RNAcentral. Lineage: Eukaryota; Fungi; Basidiomycota; Agaricomycetes; Gomphales; Gomphaceae.